AUGAAGCACGAGGUGGCCGCCCUUGCCGUCGCCUGGCAGAGGUGUCGUGCCAGAUGGAUCAAGGCCGGCUUGCCGGCUAACUCGCCCGAGGUUUCCGAUAACGAGAAGGACACCACGAUGGAGAUAGGCUCCGAUGACACCGCCCCGGCGCCCUCCCCUGUGCAUGUCGGCUUCACCAUGGAGCAGGCGCAUGCACACUACAACACCGCCAUGGCGGAGGUGCAGCCUGCGCCGGCGCCUAUGUCGGCGUUCCAGCGGGCGCUGGAGCAGCACCAGCUGGCGGAGGGCCAGAUCGACGGCGAGCGCGCGAGCGAGGAGGCUGUGGCGGCCAUGGCCACGGUGAACCCCAACUUUGUCGCCGAGCAGCGUGCGCUCUACGAUGCCCUUUGCGCUCAAGCCGCCGCUCGCCAGGAAGCUGUGGACGAGAAUAAUGCCAGUUGCGCCUCCUACGCCCUGUCCAUGAACUAUCGGGCGGGCCGGUUUGACGACAAUGGCGACGGUGCCACCAUCUCCAUCGUGGACCUCACGUCUACCGGCGACGGAUAA
This 546-nucleotide ribosomal RNA is filed under the name Triticum aestivum (bread wheat). RNAcentral describes it as "partial small subunit ribosomal RNA". The record is from RNAcentral. Lineage: Eukaryota; Viridiplantae; Streptophyta; Magnoliopsida; Poales; Poaceae.